ACACAAGCUCUGCUGUCAGCCAUGUGGAAUGAAGCAUGCCGGGCCUCAUCUCGGACCUGCACACUGCCCCUCAUUAUGUUCAUGAUCGGCAGGAAAUGGAUAAAGAGUGGCCAGAAGGUGAAAAAGAAGAGAUGGCCCCCUGAAAGGGACAUCCACAUUUAUUUGAGCACCUACCAGGAUACCUGCUUUGGGAGCCUUCUGCUGCUGCGUGAGAUCCCUGGCUACCCUGGAGAGACAUCAGACAACAAGUGAGAUGCCCAAGAGCCCUAGCUGUCUUUGUCUUUGCAGCCCAAGCUCCAGACAUGUACUGAAGAAGCUUUAAGGAUAAAUUCAGUCCCAACUACUCCCUGGCUACAACUAUGAGACAGACCCUCCCAAGUCAGAACUGCCUAGCCAAGCUCAGGCAACUCCAAGAUUUAAGAGCAAAAUAAAAGAUAGUUAUUGCUUUAA
RNAcentral lists this long non-coding RNA (450 nucleotides) under Homo sapiens (human). Its description in RNAcentral is "long independently transcribed non-coding RNA 2703, transcript variant 3 (LINC02703)". Lineage: Eukaryota; Metazoa; Chordata; Mammalia; Primates; Hominidae. The record is from RNAcentral.